ACGGCAGACUGGACGGUCGCGGGCAUAAGGAGUAAUCCUGUGCGUGAGGAAAGUCCGAGCUCCAUAGGGCAGGGUGCAAGGUAACACCUUGUGAAGGCAACUUUAAGGAAAGUGCAACAGAAAUAUACCGCCUGCAAUAUCGCAGGUAAGGGUGGAAAAGUGAGGUAAGAGCUCACUCGGGGUCUGGCGACUGACCCUUGCUGUAAACCCCAUCCGGAGCAACACCUGAAUGAAAGGCUAAGCCGGCCCGGCAUCUUUCGAGAAGGUGGCUUGAGCCGCAUAGUGAUAUGCGGCUUAGAUAGAUGACCGUCUUAAAAGACAGAACUCGGCUUACAGGUCUGCCGCAUAA
RNAcentral lists this RNase P RNA (349 nucleotides) under Oscillospiraceae bacterium. RNAcentral describes it as "RNase P RNA component class A". It matches the Rfam family "Bacterial RNase P class A". From Rfam's summary of the family: Ribonuclease P (RNase P) is a ubiquitous endoribonuclease, found in archaea, bacteria and eukarya as well as chloroplasts and mitochondria. Its best characterised activity is the generation of mature 5'-ends of tRNAs by cleaving the 5'-leader elements of precursor-tRNAs. Cellular RNase Ps are ribonucleoproteins. Lineage: Bacteria; Bacillati; Bacillota; Clostridia; Eubacteriales; Oscillospiraceae. The record is from RNAcentral.